GUUUCGGUGGCCAUGGCGAAAGGGAAACACCCGGUUCCAUUCCGAACCCGGAAGUUAAGCCUUUCAGCGCCGAUGGUACUGCAGGGGGGACCCUGUGGGAGAGUAGGACGCCGCCGGACU
Molecule: ribosomal RNA, 120 nt
Filed under: Aestuariimicrobium kwangyangense
Lineage: Bacteria; Bacillati; Actinomycetota; Actinomycetes; Propionibacteriales; Propionibacteriaceae
Source: RNAcentral